Long non-coding RNA from Nerophis lumbriciformis (worm pipefish), 1456 nucleotides. RefSeq lists it as uncharacterized. NCBI's taxonomy places the organism in Eukaryota, Metazoa, Chordata, Actinopteri, Syngnathiformes, Syngnathidae. The record is from RefSeq and is a predicted model, not a curated record.
AGGGCCAACACAGAUAGACAGACAACAUUCACACUCACAUUCACACACUAGGGCCAAUUUAGUGUUGCCAAUCAACCUAUCCCCAGGUGCAUGUCUUUACUAAAUUUAAAUUCACUCCCUCAGUUAUUUGAUAGAACAAUAUAGUUAUAGUUUGCAGGGGUACAUUGUUGUAUAUGUGAGGGACAAAAGAUGUGACAAUCAUUGGUACUUUCACUUUCAUAUUAGGAACAGUAAAACAAAAGUGACUGUUGUUCAGUGUAUGUGAAAAAUGCUGAAGCCACAAGCAUUAGCACUUUAAAAGUAACAUCUAAGACACACACAGUGGAAGGGCUUCUCGGCAGUGCACUAGAAGAGAAGCACAACAUACAGAAGUCGUGUGCUAAAAAACUAAGAAGGCCCACAUAUGAAAAGUUAAUUAGUUUGGAUAUACCACUAGCUCUUCUCAUCAUGUUGCUUCCAGUUUAGAGGUUUGACAUAUAAUAAUACAGUACACAAGUGUAAUUUUUACAGGGCCAAAAAAAACAACUAACCAUGGGCCGAAAUUACCCCCCAGCCGCACUUCGAACACAGGUUUUGGCACAUUCACCUGACGGACAUUUAACUACACUGUGUAAUUGAUUAUUAAUAGAAAAUGGUGCUAUUCUUUUUUCGUCCGUUUGUUUAUUUGGUUGACUGUAAACUACACACUAAGCUAACACAAUCAAUUUUAGAAUGUUGGACAUAAAAUAUUUUUAGUUGCUGUUACUGAUCUUCUUUGACAUGUAUGUUGAUGCAGUGUGGUGUCCUGUGGGAUGGAGGCCGCUGUGGCAGCAGAAGUGAAUUUGCACUGGCAGCAUGCCGUGUAAGGAAGCGUGCUGCCUUCAAGUGUCCCUGAUGCUGGGAGGACAAGUCAGUCCACUGGUCCAAAGCUGCCCUGAAGAGGAAGCGGUCCUCCAACGUCACACCUGCAGUGGCAGAGACACUAAUACCUCCAUCCCAUAAGUAGACCUGCCAGUGGCGUCAGUCCUCCAUCGUGUCCCACCGCCCCGCACCACUUCUCCAUCUGAGCCAAUAAACAAUCCAGUUCAAGAAUGGCCGGGCGCGUCCGUAUAGAUUUGAUCUUGGACACGUCGUCAAACAGAAGCUGUGGGAGCGUCAGUCUCGCCCCACAUUUAAAGAGAGUGUGGAUGAGAACAACCAAGUCAAUAUCACUCCAUCGUACGGAGGUGGAGUCUUCCCACCUCUGUAUGAUGUUGACGUUUCACUUGACUUUAAAUCUCUAAAGUGGAAGCAACAUGAUAAGAGUUAGGGGUUUAUCCAAACGUAUGAACUCUUCAUAUGUGGGCCUUCUAGUGCACUGUUGAAAUGUGUGUGUGUGUGUCUUAUGUUGCUUUUAAAGCGCUGACACUGCUGCUGUUUGCCUUAAUUUCUUUAAGCAUUUUUUUUACAUACACUGAACAGCAAUGACAUGCGUCUG